GGCCCGUUGGUCAAGUGGUUAAGACACCGCCCUUUCACGGCGGUAACAUGGGUUCAAAUCCCGUACGGACCU
This 72-nucleotide transfer RNA is filed under the name Ligilactobacillus ruminis ATCC 27782. RNAcentral describes it as "tRNA-Glu (TTC) (tRNA-Glu-TTC-2-1)". It matches the Rfam family "tRNA". From Rfam's summary of the family: Transfer RNA (tRNA) molecules are approximately 80 nucleotides in length. The record is from Rfam by way of RNAcentral. Lineage: Bacteria; Bacillati; Bacillota; Bacilli; Lactobacillales; Lactobacillaceae.